ACCUACGGGGGGCAGCAGUAGGGAAUCUUUCCCAAUGGGCGAAAGCCUGAUGGAGCAACGCCGCGUGCAGGAUGAAGGCCUUCGGAUCGUAAAACCCUGUUGUUAGAGAAGAAAGUGCGUGAGAGUAACUGUUCACGUUUCGACGGUAUCUAACCAGAAAGCCACGGCUAACUACGUGCCAGCAGCCGCGGUAAUACGUAGGUGGCAAGCGUUAUCCGGAUUUAUUGGGCGUAAAGGGAACGCAGGCGGUCUUUUAAGUCUGAUGUGAAAGCCUUCGGCUUAACCGGAGUAGUGCAUUGGAAACU
RNAcentral lists this ribosomal RNA (305 nucleotides) under uncultured bacterium. RNAcentral describes it as "bacterial SSU rRNA". It matches the Rfam family "Bacterial small subunit ribosomal RNA", at positions 337 to 634 of the family's 1533-position model. The record is from RNAcentral.